Molecule: unclassified non-coding RNA, 3027 nt
Filed under: Hevea brasiliensis (rubber tree)
Lineage: Eukaryota; Viridiplantae; Streptophyta; Magnoliopsida; Malpighiales; Euphorbiaceae
Source: RNAcentral
CCUUUCAUUCUCUUCCACGUACUGAUUGUUUGUAGUGCGAACUUGCUGUACCUCAGAGUCCCUCUCAGCAAUCAAAGACAGAGCAAGCCUUAGCUCAGUUUGCAGUUGAUUCAUCUCAGCAGCAAGUGUACGCAAUUCCUGUUCACGAGCUGCUAACAUGUGAGCAAGAUCAACCUGAGGUGUGCUCCCAUCAUUAGACCGCUCAUAUUUGCUUAGGCACUCUUGCAAAUGAAGAAUCUCCUCACUCAAAAAAUGAAGGUUCUCACGCUGAUAUUGAAGUAAAGCCAUUUGCUGAUCAGAAAGUCGACCACCAUCAUGAUACCUCAAGCCUUCUAAAGAACUUGAUUGCUGGAGUGGAGAAUAUAAUGACUUCAAAAUAUCAGGCUGAGAAUCUAAUGAAUUGUACUUCUGUAGAUAACCUGCAGGCUCCAAGAUACAUGCACAAAAACAAUAAGGGAAAAAAUUGCAACAUACUUAUAUUAAGUCCAAUAUAUUAAUUUAUGAGAUUAGAUCUGGUAAACAGGUGAACCCAGUAGAAUUCUAGCUUUGGCAAGACAACAGUAGCUUCAAGAUUAUGUGCAUUCACAUAGAAGAAGAAAAUUUGUCUUAUGUUAAGUUGUUAUAUUAUAUAAUUACUUGUGCAAUAUUUUGUCACUGGAAAAUGGAAAACACAAAUCCAUCUUUGAAAUGGAUGCUUCCAUUUGCAUGAAACACAUUCUUCAGAAAUCAAGAAUUUCUGAAGAGGUAAUAAUAAGUUUCAUUAGCAGUCAUUAUCCAUAAGAACAGCCCAUACAAUGUCAAAGUCAUGGAAUGAUGGUGCCUAUGGAAUAUGGACAGAUUUUUCCUACAUUUAUCAUUGCAUUAGAGUGGAGAAAAUCUCAUCUCAGCUACCCUAUAAGAUUAGAAAAUUGUCAAGGCAAUCCACUUGCGUAGGGCCACUGCGACAUAAAUUAGGUUGUGAAAACAUCUCAAAAUAUGCAAAUCAACUCACCAACAUAGAUGCUCAAAAAGGACACAGCACAUAUUGCUUCAGUCAACACAAUAAUCCUGCAGAUUUUGUUAAAUAAGCUAAGAAAUUGUCAUCAAGUAUACAGUUUGAAAAGGCAAUUAGCACUCUGUGUUUCAUUCUUAACCUACUAGAAAGGCAGAAGGCAAGAUGUAGACAAUAAAUACAAAUAUAACAAUGAGGAAAAAGAGCCCAAUUUCAUGGCAAUAAACCUAAACUCCACAACAAUUGCUGCUUAAAUAUUGGUGAUAUAUGUACCUUAGUAAUGCUGGGAUUGAAAGAAAGCUGAUUUGUGGUUUCCAUACCAUGACAAGCAACAUUGCAGCAGUUCCUAUAAUUUAUCUAAAUUAUUCAAUAAAAUGAUGAAAGCAAUAAUUUCAAAGGCAUAGAAGGGAAUUUUAGUAAAUUAGAAAUUUGCAUUUUGUUUAUGAAAUAUAACGAGCAAUGGUGCAAAGCCAACUCUAAUUGCAACGAGUCAAUCUGUUACAGCAUGAUAAUUUUUUUUAAGUACCUAAACGAAUAUGUUGCUUUUCUAACCCUUAAUAUCAAACUUUUAACAGUGAUCUCCAACCAACCAUUCUUUCCUAACAAAAAAGACUUAAUUUCCCACUAGAAGAUAAAAUCAUAGAGUGUGUGUAUGCGUGUAUGUGUACUUACCAUAGGCAGUAAUGGCAAAUGGUAAGCGAACAACAUGCUUCAAUUUUUGGCUGAAACUAUAAUAGCCCUGCAAAAUGAAUGAGCAUGUAACAGUUUCUACACCAGAUAAAACAUAAAAGGUAAAUUAAUAAACCACAUGAUUUGACAUCCAGAUAGCACUAGAGUUAAAUAGAAACAUCAAAGGAUGUCUGAGAAACUCUUUUACCACUGCAAUCUGAAUCUUGAUUAAAAAGACAGACAGAGAGAUUCCAAACAAGUGCAGACAACUGAUUUUUGGAAGGACAAACUAGCUGCAUUUAUCAUAAAACUAGUUAAAUUAGCAUUUUACUACUUUCUCAAUGAAGAUUACCUGUAAACGAAUUUUUUGGACUUGAGAAACAAAAUAUUGUUGGAAGAUGCCUGAAAGAUUGAAAUAAAUGCAUUAUAGUUGCAGCACACUCGCUGAUCACAAAGCUAUGCAGGCUGCCAGAUUAGAGAGACUAAAUAAUGGACGUAGAAAACAACAAACAGAAAACCAGAACAGAGAAAAAUAUAUCUUAAGGAUAUCAUAUCGUCAGAAAUCAAUUGCCCAAACUAAAUUGCAGUGUGUCUCAUGCCAGUGAAACAUGUUCUCAAAUGAGGUUGCCAUUGUGAGCAAAAUGAUAUACCGAAUGGUACAAAAUUGAGUAGCAAGAAUAAUAUAACUUGAGGACCCACUAGCAAGCCAUUGAAUGUAAUAUUCCUAUUGACAGUUUAAUUCACAAUUUGCAAGGUGUAAUUAGGACAUAAAGUUUCAAUAAUUUCAAGAGAAGUAACAGACAAACGUUCGUUAUUUAAGAUCCUAGAUAGUCAGAUUUCCUCCUUUCAAUUAGCAACUUUAAUCAAGACUCAUAAAAGUGAUAUAAUGCCAUAUAGUAAUUCAAAAAAUGAAAAAGCAUAGCCCAUUUGCUCUGAUCUAGCAAUUAAAUCAGGAAACCAGCAAUAAUUCAGACAUUGUAAUGGCAAGUACAAUGAUCCUGUCAAGUUUUCUAAGAUCAGGAAAUUGAGAAAAAAACAAAAAAAGCAUUCAAAAGCUCUAGUAAAGCAGGCCUGUGACUAUUAGAAGAGCAACAUCGCAACUACAAAGCAGCGGUGGGACCAAUCCGUGAUGAAAUACAAAGGGAGCUAUCGCACCCAAAACAGCAUAACCUGCCAGUAGAACACAGUAGACAACAGCUCCAAAAAUACUCCUGCGUUUCCGGUGACCACAUAAAGGAGCCUCAUGAAGUAUAUCAAGGAACAUAGCGUUUUCUUCAGGAGAUGUGGAAGGAGAAUUACCGUGUCUCUGUGUGGACAUCUUCUUUCUUGGUAUUCUAAUUCUACGUCUUUUUUUUUUUUUUUUUUUU